UAAGUAGAUUCCCUUCAGUACCUCUUGCGGAUGGAUGGUGGUUCUCCCUUUUUUAUUUAACUAGGCAAUUCAGUUAAGAACAAAUUCUUAUUUACAAUGACGGCCUGCCGGGGAACAGUGGGUUAACUGUCUUGUACAGGGCAGAACGACAGAUUUUUACCUUGUCAGCGAUUCAAUCCAGCAACCUUUUGGUUACUGGCCCAACGCUCUAACCACUAGGCUACCUGCCGCCGCAUUGCCGCCAUGAACUUCUCAAACUCCCCCUCAGGCACAAGACCCAGCUCCUGGUAAUAGUGUUCAAACAGCUUGUUCUCCUUGGAGGAGCUACCUGCUUUUCUGGUGCCACUGUGCCUUAUGCUGUGGACUUCUGCUGAGAAAACCACUCAUCUUCCCAAUCAGUUACUGCUGGUUGGUUAUUUUGCUCUGCCCAGAAUACCUGCCCAUAUGCAUUGCACCAAUCAUCUAUCCAUUUUUUUUUUGGUGGAGGGAAAUCUACAUCAUUUGCAUUGUUCGUCCUGGCCUUUGUGUUCUGCAUCUAUAAUGGCUAUAUGCAGGUCAGCUACCUGAGCAACUGGGUUACCAGCCCCUGCUUCAUCACAGGCUCUGUGCUGGGGUUGGUGGGUUGGUUGGUGAACGUUCACUCUGACCACAUCCUAAGGAACCUACGGAAGCCUGGAGAGAGGGGCUACAAGAUACUGUACCAAAAGAUAAGAUUCCUGCUACCUGCAGGUUCGCUCUGGCCAAUCAAAACCACUACCUGGAAGUUUCCUAGUAAAGCACUGAUCCUUAAUCUACGUCUACAUGCAGUGGAGAAUCACUGCUUGUUCCUUUUCAGCACGUGUUAAAUUCAUUUCACAAAGGGCCGAGUGUCUGCAGGUUUUCGCUCUUCCCUUGAACAUAAUUAAUGAAUUAAGGUCACUCAUUAGUAAGAAACUCCCCUCACCUGGUUGUCUAAGUCUUAAUUGAAAUUGAAAAGAAAAACCAGCAGACUCUACGCCCUCCAUGGAAUGAGUUUGACACCCUUGCUUUACAGUUACAGAUAGUGCAUAUCCAUUGACUUAUUCCACAUUUUGUUGUUGUUACACCCUGAUUUGUUUUACCUGUCUUGUGCUUGUCUCCACCCCCCACCAGGUGUUUCCUAUUUUUCCCCAUUAUCCCCUGUGUAUUAAUACCUGCGUUGUUCUGUUUGUCUGUUGCCAGUUUGUCUUGUCGGGUCUUACCAGCGUGUUUCAGGUUGCUUCUGCGCUUAAGUUUGUUUUUCGAGUCUUCCCGGAUCUGACCUUUCUGUCUGUCCUGACCCUGACUUCCGUUCUGUCCCUGUUUGACCCUGCCUUGGAUUACGAACCACUGCCUGUCCUCGACCUGCCCUUUGCCUGCCCCUUUCUAUAAUAAAUAUUCUGAGUAUUGAACUAUCCACCCCCUGUGUCUGCAUCUGGGUCAUAUCCCGAGUCGUGAUAGUACGAACUGGCCAUGACUGACCCAGCAGACUCGGACCAGCUCCGCGACGCUGUCUCUUCCCAAGGAGCCACCAGGAGUUCCUUGAAAGGCUUAUGGAAAGACUCCAGACCUUGGUGGAAAACCAUGACCAUGCUUUCAAUGCAUUACUGGAGCUAUUCCACGGAUUUUCUAACAGGCAGCAAGCCACAACUGUAACCUCCCAGAUUCUCAGUAAUCCCGCUACCUGCAGUGUUUCUCCCCAGCCUACCCCAACUUCCCGUUAACCUUGCUUACCUCCUCCGGAGCACUACGCUGGGGAUCCAGGAACCUGCCGGGCUUUUCUCUCCCAGUGCUCCCUCAUUUUCGAUCUGCAGCCCUCUUCGUUUCUGUCGGACCGUUCUAAGAUGGCGUAUCUUAUAAUGCUGUUGUCCGGGAGGGCACUCGCCUGGGCUACGGUGGUAUGGGAGCAACAAUCCACCGUUUGCCUUAGGCUGGAGGAUUUCGUGGCGGAAGUAAGGAAGGUGUUUGACUUGCCGUUGUCUGGGAUAGAGGCGGCUCGCAAGCUACUUCAACUGUAGCCAUUAAAUGCUAUCCACAUUGACAGGACCGCAGUGGAGAUGGUGAAAACUUCACGUUUCUCGGCGUACACAUCACCGAUGAUCUGAAAUGGUCCACCCACACAGACAGUGUGGUGAAGAAG
This is a long non-coding RNA of Salmo salar (Atlantic salmon), 2137 nucleotides long. RefSeq lists it as uncharacterized. The record is from RefSeq and is a predicted model, not a curated record. NCBI's taxonomy places the organism in Eukaryota, Metazoa, Chordata, Actinopteri, Salmoniformes, Salmonidae.